GCCCUCAUUGUCUAAUGGCUAUGACGUCAGACUUCUAAGGUCUGAUUGACCGUUGGGAUCUGGAGGUUGCGGGUUCGAGUCCCGCUGGGGGUA
Pleurotus ostreatoroseus is the source of this 93-nucleotide non-coding RNA. NCBI's taxonomy places the organism in Eukaryota, Fungi, Basidiomycota, Agaricomycetes, Agaricales, Pleurotaceae. The record is from the annotation of a GenBank genome assembly.